GGUGCUCUUUUGACACAGGCGCUUAGGUUCUUGGAAGAUCACCUGCCGUUAUGUGGCUGCCUCUUUGAACUGCUUUGGCUCAUGGGAUGGAAGUAGCUGGAUUUGUCAACUCUGUGAGUUUCCAAAUUCUAGGGCUCUCUUCCAAAUUCUCUCUUAGCUUUAGGCAAAGGGAGGAAAGACCACCUGUUUUAGAAGAACUGAGUUCUCUUCUGUCUCUCCUGGAAGGUUUGCUAGGUGGGUCUCUCUUCUAAGGCUUUGCUGAAAUGAAGCAGGAAGCAAACUACACUCUAAUAUUCUGAAAUUUCCUAGCAUUAUUUGGCAUGUGCCUAUCUCCUAAGGCACAGCAGAUCAUAAUUUGACCAAACGGUCACCAUCACAUAAUAGUUGCUGUCAGCUUUCCCAUUGGUAGCGUCUUUAUCCUGGUGCCAGCCACCUGACUGCCUCCCUGCUCCGUGGAACCAGUACUCUGUUUUACAUUUUGUCAUUGCAGCAAAUGAGUGUGUUCUCUAGUGUAAGCCGUAUGUGUAAGCUACCUAAAACUAAAUGCACUCUAGUUAGUUUAAGAUGAAUGGGAUUUAUUAAGGAUAUGCAUAUCUUGGAAUUCAUAGGAAGGAUUGAAGAAAUGUGCUUUAGGUUGAGCUCAUAAGAAAGACUUCAGAUUAUACUGGAGAGCUGGCCGCUGGGGAAUCGCUGCUUUGUCAGCAUCGGGAAACUCAGAACGAAGAAUCUUCCGGCACAGCUGCAGGCCAUGGGCCCUGCAACCCCCGGUGCCCCACAUCCUGCCUCCCCUGAAUUCCAAACCAGAGUCUGUCAGAGGCCAGGUAAUUGGUGCAACAGAGAUCAUAUCCAGAAGCCCAUCCCAAUGGGAUGAAGAAAUUUAGUUUUUAGAUGGCUGGCCUCUUUGUCUUUCUUAGUAGAAAGCAGUUCCUUCCACUAUAUCCUGCACUUAUUUGAAUUUGAGAAGAGCAUCUGGAAAAUGAUAAUUUUUAUUAAAAUACCUGCAAAUGUAUUCAUAUUUAUACACAUCUCAUUUCUGCAAAGGCAUCAUUUCAUACCUCCCCUUAUGGACAUUCCUUUACAUACAAAUAUAUGUAUAAUAGAGAUGAGACUGGUAGGUUUAAUCUCAUUAUUUCAGCACAAGUUAUCAGUGAGGGCAAGUAUAGGAAGUAGGAUUUCAGCUUGUAGAAUAUUAAAAAAAAACAGCUUGAGGAAUAUUUAAAUUAUGGAAGUAUGUAGUUUCAAAAUAUGCAUUUUAGACUCUUCUAGAAGUGAAAAUCGGCUAAAUCAUUAGAUAGCUGUCCCUGUAGUUACACUAAAGUGUAUACGGAGUCUGGUGAAGAUUAGAGACAAUCAGAGGCUGACUCACUCUCUAGUUAUUGAUUUAAUGAAAAUGACUUAAGUACUUUGUUAUUAUUUCUCCAUCUCUCACCUGAACAAUGACCCUGAACACAAGCGAGAUAAUACUUUUCAAGCGCUUUUAGCGUCUCAGUUGAAUUGUGCUACGUAUAUUGAACCAGAAGUGACAAGAUGUAAAUUUCUUUGAGUUGAAAUAUGAGGAAGGGGCAGCCCUGGUGGCUCAGCGGUUUAGCGCUGCCUGCAGCCCAGGGUGUGAUCCUGGAGACCCUGGAUCGAGUCCCACAUCGGGUUCCCUGCAUGGAGCCUGCUUCUCCCUCUGCCUGUGUCUCUGCCUCUCUCUCUCCUCUCUGUGCAUUCUCAUGAAUAAAUAAAUAAAAUCUUUUUUUUUUUUAAAAAAAAGAAAUAUGAAGAAGAAGCUGGCAAAGCACUGACUCACUCCCUGUAACAAGCAGAGGCUUCCAGUCUAGCUACUUGCCCGAUGAAUAACUUUUGCCUGGCUUUGGAAUGUAAGUUUAAGUGCAUGAAGUGCAAGCUAUAGGGUGGGGGUAGGGGAAUGACAGUGAACAAGAAUGCUCAUACACUGGAAUAAACAACCUUCCAAAACCCCAUGAAUGACAGUGAUUAUUAGGUUCCUUUAAGUGUCCGGAGAAAUUCGCUAUUAAUCCCGAUGUGGCUGUUUUGGCCAGUCGAGGGGAUCGUUGCACAUUAGACAUGCUCUCGUCUCUGUGAGGUCUCACAGUGUGUCUGAUAGUAUUAUUUCUUUCUUUUUAAAUAUUUUUUAAAAAACAUUUUAUUGAUUUGAGAGAGCAAGAGCUUGGCCACAGGCACCCACAGGCUUGCCAGCAGGAGGAGGACCAGAGGAGUAGGGAGAGGGCCAAGCAGGCUCUACCCUGAGCACGGAACCCUUUAGGGGCUCCCUCUCAGGACCCUGAGAUCAUGACCCGAGCCCAAAUAAAGAGCCUGUUGCUUAAUCUACUGAUGAAGCACCCAAGUGCCCCUCUUUUUAAACAUUUUAAUUCCGGUAUAAUUAAAUACAGUCUUAAUAUUCCUUUCAGGCGUACAAUAUAGUGAUGCAACAAUUCUAUAUAUUAGUGUUCAUCGUGGUACGUAUACUGUCAAUCCCCUUCACCUAGUUCUCCCAUCCCCCCCACCUCUUCUCUGGUAAAUCAGUUUGUUUUCUGUGGUUACAAAUCUGUAUUUUGGUUUGUCUCUUUUGGUCUUUGUUCCUUUGUUUUGUUUCUUGCUUUACACAUUUGAGUGAAACCACACGGCGUUUGCAUUUCUCUGUUUCACUUAUUUCACUUUAGCAUGAUACUCUUUAGAGCCAUUUGUGGUGUUGCAGAUGACAAGAUUUUACUCCUUUUUAUGGCUGAGCAAUACACACAAACACACACACAUACACACAGCACAUCUUCCUUAUCCAUGCUUCUACUGACGGACACUUGGGCUGCUUCCAUAACUUGGCUGUUGUUAAUAAUCCUGCAGUAAACAUAGGGGUGCGUGUGCAUGUGUCUUUUUGAAUUAGUAUUUUUCUAUUCUUUGUGUGAAUACCUAGUAGUGGAGUUACUGGAUUUUAAGGUGGUUCUAUUUUUGAUUUUUUGAGGAGCCUCCAUGCUUCCAUCAGCUUGCAUUUCCACUAAC
Molecule: long non-coding RNA, 2997 nt
Filed under: Canis lupus familiaris (dog)
Lineage: Eukaryota; Metazoa; Chordata; Mammalia; Carnivora; Canidae
Description: lncRNA (ENSCAFG00000058112.1)
Source: RNAcentral